GAUGAACGCUGGCGGCGUGCCUAAUACAUGCAAGUCGAACGAACAGACGAGGAGCUUGCUCCUCUGACGUUUGCGGCGCACGGGUGUGUAACACGUGGAUACCCUCCCUAUAAUACUGGGAUAACUUCGGGAAACCGGAGCUAAUACCGUAUAACAUGCUGAACCACAUGGUUCAACAGUGAAAGACGGUCUUGCUGUCACUUAUAGAUGGAUACGCGCCGCAUUGGCUGGUUGGUACGGUAACGGCUUAGCAAGGGAACGAUGCGUAGCCGAGCUGAGAGGCGGAUAGCCCACCUGGGAACGGAGACACGCACCAUAGGACUACGGGAGGCAGCAGUAGCGAAUGUGCCGCAGCGGUCGGAAGCCUUACGCAGCAACGCGGCGUGAGUGAAGAAGGCCUUCGGAUCGUAAAAAUCGGUUAUGAGGGAAGAACAAAUUUGGAAGGAAAUAUACACGGCGUGACGGUACUGAGUCAGGAAGCCCCGGCUAACUACGUG
Molecule: ribosomal RNA, 497 nt
Filed under: uncultured bacterium
Lineage: Bacteria
Description: partial 16S ribosomal RNA
Rfam family: Bacterial small subunit ribosomal RNA
Source: RNAcentral